GAUGAACGCUGGCGUCGUGCCUAAUACAUGCAAGUCGAGCGAACAGAUGAGGAGCUUGUUCCUCUGACGUUAGCGGCGGACGGGUGAGUAACACGUGGAUAACCUACCUAUAAGACUGGGAUAACUUCGGGAAACCGGAGCUAAUACCGGAUAAUAUAUUGAACCGCAUGGUUCAAUAGUGAAAGACGGUUUUGCUGUCACUUAUAGAUGGAUCCGCGCCGCAUUAGCUAGUUGGUAAGGUAACGGCUUACCAAGGCAACGAUGCGUAGCCGACCUGAGAGGGGGAUCGCCCACACUGGAACUGCGACACGCACAAGACUCCGACGGGAGGCAGCAGUAGGGAAUCUUCCGCAAUGGGCGAGAGCCUGACGGAGCCCCGCCGCGUGAGUGAUGACGGUCUUCGGAUCGUAAUACUCUGUUAUUAGGGAAGAACAAAUGUGUAAGUAACUAUGCCCGUCUUGACGGUACCUAAUCAGCAAGCCACGGCUAACUCCGUG
RNAcentral lists this ribosomal RNA (497 nucleotides) under uncultured bacterium. RNAcentral describes it as "partial 16S ribosomal RNA". It matches the Rfam family "Bacterial small subunit ribosomal RNA", at positions 28 to 507 of the family's 1533-position model. The record is from RNAcentral.